RNAcentral lists this long non-coding RNA (996 nucleotides) under Mytilus galloprovincialis (Mediterranean mussel). The record is from RNAcentral. Lineage: Eukaryota; Metazoa; Mollusca; Bivalvia; Mytilida; Mytilidae.
AAAAGUCCGUGCAAUUUAACGGUCUCUUUUACCUUGAAAACCGAACAGAGUGGACGUUAAAAAAUUAAGACCCAUCCUCUCCCACCCUUAAGAAUUGAACUUUGUUUGCUGCUGGUUUUAUUUAUUUUUCAGAUGCUCCAGUCUUCAUACAAACAUCCGUCAUGGUAACAUGCUGAAGCAGUCACACAACCGGAGCGAAAUUUACUUCAUUUUAUGCAGACUAUGGAUAGCCCAGCUGCUAAUUCUGAAAUAUUGCUGAAUGGACCGCCCUUCAGUACACCAGCUUUGGAUCGCCCAGCUGUGAUACAAUGAUUAGUUCAAUCGUCAUCAACAUUUUAUUGAUUGACAAAAUAUUUUGGUUGUGUACUGUUGUUGUAACAGUUGUUGUUGUUUUAUGAAUGAAUUUUGAUUAAAUGUUGCCAUGACAAUUCAAUAUCCAAACAAAAUCAGUGUUUGUUAUUUGUUGUAGUGAAAUUCAAAUCAAGGCAUCAAUGGCGUCUGUUCGUCAAUUCUGAUAAUUGGUUAAUUUACACCAAGUGAUAUUUUUGAUUAAACGAUAUAUUCAAUAAUAGAAAUUAAUUAAAUGAAAAUUAAAUUCAUUUAUUGAAUUAACAUAUACAUGUAUUGAGACUCGACAAAUCGAGUCGUCCUUACUCUUAUUAUGCUAAUUUAAGCAUGUGACAGCCGAGUAGUAAAAGUCCGUGCAAUUUAACGGUCUCUUUUACCUUGAAAACCGAACAGAGUGGACGUUAAAAAAUUAAGACCCAUCCUCUCUCACCCUUAAGAAUUGAACUUUGUUUGCUGCUGGUUUUAUUUAUUUUUCAGAUGCUCCAGUCUUCAUACAAAUAUCCGUCAUGGUAACAUGCUGAAGCAGUCACACAACCGGAGCGAAAUUUACUUCAUUUUAUGCAGACUAUGGAUAGCCCAGCUGCUAAUUCUGAAAUAUUGCUGAAUGGGCCGCCCUUCAGUACACCAGCUUUGGAUCGCCCAGCUGUG